GAUGAAGAACGUAGCGAAAUGCGAUACGUAAUGUGAAUUGCAGAAUUCAGUGAAUCAUCGAAUCUUUGAACGCACAUUGCGCCCCUUGGUAUCCCGAGGGGCAUGCCUGUUCGAGCGUCAUUUCACCACUCAAGCCUGGCUUGGUGUUGGGCGACGUCCUCUUUGGGGACGCGCCUCGAAACGCUCGGCGGCGUGGCACCGGCUUUAAGCGUAGCAGAAUCUUUCGCUUUGGAAGUCGGGGCCCCGUCUGCCGGAAGACCUGCUCGCAAGGUUGACCUCGGAUCAGGCAGGGAUACCCGCUGAACUUAAGCAUAUCAAUAGCGGAGGA
RNAcentral lists this unclassified non-coding RNA (328 nucleotides) under soil metagenome. RNAcentral's name for it is "partial contains 5.8S ribosomal RNA, internal transcribed spacer 2, and large subunit ribosomal RNA". The stretch from base 1 to 120 matches the Rfam family "5.8S ribosomal RNA", at positions 35 to 154 of the family's 154-position model. The record is from RNAcentral.